CCUACGAGCGGUAGCAGUGAGGAAUAUUGGUCAAUGGACGCAAGUCUGAACCAGCCAUGCCGCGUGCAGGAAGACGGCUCUAUGAGUUGUAAACUGCUUUUGUACGAGGGUAAACGCAGAUACGCGUAUCUGUCUGAAAGUAUCGUACGAAUAAGGAUCGUCUAACUCCGUGCCAGCAGCCGCGGUACUACGUAGGAUUCAAGCGUUAUCCGGAUUUAUUGGGGUUAACGGGUGCGUAGGCGGUCGGAUAAGUUAGAGGUGAAAUCCCGGGGCUCAAACUCGGAAUUGCCUCUGAUACUGUUCGGCUAGAGAGGAGUUGCGGUAGGCGGAAUGUAUGGUGUAGCGGUGAAAUGCUUAGAGAUCGUACAGAACACCGAUUGCGAAGGCAGCUUACCAGGUCACUUCUGACGUUGAGGCACGAAAGCGUGGGGAGCAAACAGGAUUAGAUACCCCUGUAGUC
RNAcentral lists this ribosomal RNA (460 nucleotides) under uncultured bacterium. RNAcentral's name for it is "partial 16S ribosomal RNA". It matches the Rfam family "Bacterial small subunit ribosomal RNA", at positions 338 to 795 of the family's 1533-position model. The record is from RNAcentral.